GGAGUCUCUCUCUGUCACCCAGGUUGGAGUCCAGUGGUUCAAUCUCGGCUCACUGCAAGCUCUGCCUCCCAGGUUUACGCCAUUCUCCUGCCACAGCCUCCCGAAUAGCUGGGACUACAGGUGCAUGACACAAGGCCUGACUAAUUUUUUGUAAUUUUAGUAGAGAUGGGGUUUCACUGUGUUAGCCAGGAUGGUCUGGAUCUCCCAACCUCGUGAUCCGCCCGCCUCAGCCUCCCAAAGUGCUGGGAUUACAGGUGUGAGCCUGGCCAACAAUCUUUUUAAAGUACAUAUGAAAUCUAGCUAAAGGAAGAAUUAGGAAACAGGAAGAUGGAUCUCUAAAAAUUACCCCUAUAAUGUAGCACAGAAUGAUAAAGAAAAGGAUAACAUGUAAGAGAACUAUUUCAAAGGAAUCCAGAAGAAGAGAACAGAGAAAAUGGAGAAUACACAAUUAAAAUGGUAAUUGAGAAAUUGUUCCAAAACUGAUAUGAACAUGAAUCAUCAGAUUCAAAUAGUAAAAGUAGCCUCAACAUGAUAAGUACAAUUGAAUCCACACCUAGACAUAUCAUAAUGAAACUUCAGAACACCAACAUAAAAAACAAGUUUCUUUAAAGCGCCAGAAAGAAGGAAAAAUCAUUUGAAAGAAUAAUAUUAUACUGACUGCAGACAGCAGAAUUAUCGUAGCAACAAUAAAAGUCAAGAGAGUGGAAUAGUACCUUCAGUAAGUUGAAGCCACAUAGCUGUCAACUAGAAUUAUAUGUUGUUGUAAUCACCCCACAGCAAUGAAUGGGCUCCCCACGUGAAACUUUGUUCAGAUAUCAUGACUGAUGGUACCAUACACACAUACCAAGAGAGUAUGAACAUUUUUAUUAAUCAUGGAUUGAAGAUUCCUGGGGAGAACAGAUUCCCAAGCAGGUCUGAAAAUGGUUGGGAGAGCAGAGAAUGGAGACUGUCUUGGGUUUAUGAUGGUUAGGUAGUUAGAGGUGAAAGUGAAGUUUCCCUUCAUGAUCCAGGGCUUGCAUGGUUUAAUCUUUCUGACACCAACAAAGGAGGGUACCUAAGAAACCAGGUAAAGGUAUAUUGCAUUCCUUCCAAAGUGAAGGCAAAUUGAAAUUUGAGAGACUAUUGAAAUAGGCUCAGAACAGAUGUAGACAAAUAUGUGACUGAAAAGUACAUACCAGUUGCUGAUUGUUUGGUGUUUAUCUUCUCAUGGAGAAAGGAAGGCUGUGUGCAUACAAGUGACAUCUGCUGCUUGUUUCAAGUCCUAGAAUUGUAUGACUACCUUAGCUUCAUGUGGGCCUAGUGCCUCAUUCUGUUGGUCCUGUUCUUUGAUUAUACAGGCUGUUCACCUCAGGUACAGGUACACAUCUAUUGCUCUAUUGCUUCCUCCAAAGCAAAAUGCCCUUGAUAUUAAGUUCACAGAGCCUGAGGCUUUUGUCCAGAUUUUACUGAUUUCUCCAAUUUCUGCCUAGUAGUAAAGUCUUUGCCCUUAGACUAAGCCAGCUUUGUCCACUAGAGAUAUGAUAUGAGCCAUAUGCGUCAUUUAAAAUUUUCUAGUAGCUACAUUUAAAAAUAAAUUAACAGAGCUAGGUGAAACUAAUAAUACAGUGUAUUUACUCCAACACAUCCAAAAUAAUAUGAAAUGUUAUUAAGAUAUUUUGCAUUCAUAUUUUCUAAGUCUUCAAAAUUUAGAAUGUACUUUAUUUACACUUACAGAAUAUCUCAGUUAAGCGUUCAUUAAAAGUGCUUGAUCUGUGUUUAGAUUUUAUAAAAUUUACAGUUGAAAAAUUAGAUGCACAUACCUAAGUUAUUUCAAAUGUACAAAAACAGUUUCCAAAAGCUGAAUUGAGGGUCAAUUUUAAAAUUUAAAUUUAAAGUAAUUUAAGUUAAAUUAAAAAGUUAGUUUCUCAGUCUCCCUAGCCACAUUUUAAGUGCUUGGUAGCUACAAGUGGGCUAGCAGCUACUGCACUGGGCAGCACAGACUAUCGUGAAAUGCAGGCCCUCAUCUCAAAGCCUCCUUUCUGCUUGCAUGUUACAUCUUGAAUUAGAAAGAUGGGACUGCACCUCACUUCCUGAAAAUAACACUCAUAUACCUUAAACUGACAUUCAAAACUCUUAGUAACAUCUUGAAGGCAUUGAAACAGCCAAGGAUCUACAACUUCCUAAUUAAACUAGCUAAAAUUAAUUUUUCCUUAUUUUGUUAUCCCAAAGAACUUCUUCUUACCUCUGUUUUAGGCUUUAUUCCAAUAGGCUCAUAGUAUUUUUUACUGUAUCCUUGGUGAAUCGCCAUGUCAUAAUCCUAAAGAACAUGAUUCCUAAGUUUAGAAAAAUCUAGGUUUGAUCCCCCGAAUGCCCAUCUAUUGGCUUGGGCAGUUAUGUCUUCUGAGCCUAACAUUCCUUAUUUACAAAGUGGGAAUAAUACUUACUUAAUAAUAUGAUGUAGUGAGGAUUAUAAGUGAUACAGCCUAUAAAGUGCUUUACUUUGUGUCAGAGUUUGUCACCAAAAAAAUUACAAAAAUAAUGUUAGCAAAUAUUUAUUGAUCUGUUUCUCACUAAAAUUUAAGUCUUUAAAGGUGAGGGUCAUUGAUCUGCUUGCUAAAGGGACAUCACCUAGCACUGUGCUGUGCAUAUGGCCGUAUAUACAGCUCAGUCAAUGGUUGAGUUUAAAUUCAAACUGACUGCUACCACUGACUGGAUUCAGACUUCACCCUGCUUCGCAUGCCCUCCUUAUCUCCAUUUGUAUAUCUCUUCCAGUUGCUUUGCCUCUUUGUCUUCUUGGUCUCAAUAGUCACUAAAGUUUCAAGCAACAGGUGAGAAAAAUAAAAUUAAAAAGCCCUUUUUCAUAAGGCAAAACAGUCAUGGAAUAUAAAGGAAAUUUAAUUUUAGAACUGCAUUAGAAUAAAGUUGGUUAGGUAUAAACCCUUAACUCCUAGAAACGUAUUCAGAGCAACAGGCAUCUCCGCCAGCUCCCUGGGACCGGGCUACAGUGGAGUUGUGUCAUAGUGCAAAAGUAGUGAACUGCUGAUAAAAAGCAUUAACCUCCAUCAGAGUGGCUGCCAUUAACUGAUGAAAUCAAUUAAGCCAGCAGCACUACCUGCUGAAAACUGAUCUAGCAGAGGAACGGAUGGCAGGGUAGAACAGAUGAAAUGAAAAAAUAGUGGGCUGGGUUUUCUUCUUGCUCUGUUUUUAGAAAUGUUAAGUUCCGUCAGUGUGUUUUUUUGCACUGCUUUGAAGAACUCUUUCCCCGGCGACUCCCCCCCUGCUUGGCCUCAUUCCUUAAACUCACUAAGUUAUUACAGUUAAUACCGUGGUUAAUGGUUUCUGGAAAGACGAUAUCUAUCAGCAUCUGAGUGUACACAUUUUGGCCUAAAUACUGAGAAAUCGUAGGUAUGUAAUACAAAGCCUGGGUGUGCCUGCCUGUAGAAAGUAGCUCAUUAGGAUUAAUCUUUUAUGGAGUGACUAAUGCAAAGGGAACGAGGCCUUUUCCUCCCCAACUCGGCAGAGGUUUUGUCCAAACUUUCAAACAGGUUUCUUUGGAAUACAGCUGGUCACUACUGAAGACUUUGCUCAAACAUAUGGAACUUUAAAACCUUGAUUUUUUUUUUAACUUUUGUAUACUGUAGCAAUUCCCUGAAAAUCAAAUGGCAGAACCUAAACGGAAGACUCACUGCCAAAACGCAUGCCCAGUUGGGGAAAAGUGUGUGGGGAAUCAUCCAGCACACUUCGAGAGCUUCGAGUACAGCCUGGUAGAACUCUGUAUUACCUUCUGUUCUGAUUCCUGAGCUCUGCCAGACUUUUGUUUGAAAAAGCAUCUUUAUGCAGCAGUACAUUUGUUACGUUGUAUCUGAGAAUACUUUCCACCUUGGCUCCUGCUUUUAACGAGUAAAAUGACUUCUUCUCUUGCUACAAAGACCAAAAGGACACAAGGUACAAGGCAGAGCUUCUCAGCAGAGAUAUAUGUUUUUUUCUGCCAAAAUUAGUAUAAGACAAUAAGUUGUCUGUAAAGGUCCGGUAGUCAGAUAAAGGAGUCAAGUUCCUUUUCAGGGUAAUGUAAUUGUUAGUCCUCAUAAAAAAAAGUGUUGUGUGGUGGGGGGAGUUGCGGCUUUAUCAAUAAAAGCAUACAGAGCUGAAUAUCUACAUAAAGAAAUGUUCAGUAUAAUUUAUGGCAUUUCAUCAUGUCGAACUGCAUUUCAAGUAAUUCACCCUGGCAGUUUUAUUCUCAAAAUGGAAAUCUUAGUAUUUUCCUUGCCUUCAUCAAAUAAAGAGUUCGUGUUCAACUGUAGUCCGUAUACUUGAUAAUUUGUCUGGCUGGGUAAGGUUAUUAGCAAUUUAAGAAGUAAACCCAUUUGGAUUUUCAGAGUUAACAGAAAUAGGAGAUUGCUAUGAUGAUCUCUUAAAAAUUACAAUGUAACACACAAAAGUGAGAUUUAAGUAACAAGAUUUUCCAUACACCAAUAACACCAGGGAAAUUCAAACUCAAACUCCCUCGUUUAAUUUCCAGGGAUUAAGGGGUUGGUAUUGAAGUCAAUGAAAGAUACAUUUUACAAAACUGUUAAUUCAAUUCAGAAAAGCAGACCAAAGGCCCACUAUCUUUAGAGUUUCUUUGGUUGAAAUGCAACUUGAUCAACUGGGUGGAAGAUAUUUCUAAUUCUCUAAACUGGUCAGAACAAAGUAGAGGACAGUGGUCCCAGCCAGAGGAUCCUGAGGGUCUCCUAUGAUAAACUGUUAGACUUGCAAGGGCAUUUAGAGAUUAUUUAGCCCAAACCUAUAGCUUGGUAAAUGAGGAAAUUGAAGCCUAGAGAGUAAAUGACUUAGCUAACAUCAUUCAACUGGUCGGUAUAGGUGUUCACUCACUUGCCUUUCAAAUAGAGAUCUUUUUAACUCCCUCAUCAAAUUCUUUCAGGAAUUAUUGAUUUUCUUAGUUGGUUUCUUUUGAUUUUAUAUUUUAUCAUGGAGAUGAUAUUAAUUCCAGGAUAAAAUACUGAUAUAAGGAAUUUUCAAAAUUGUUGCUCAUUAUUUUCUAAUUUUCAUUUAGCCUCUUGCAACAUUGCAAACAAAGUUGAUAACAUUUUACCUUUAGAUUCACCUUUUCAAUUUACAAAACACUUAAUGUCUAAGACUUGCCAAUGAUAUAAGCUAUUUACUAUUUAACACAUUUAUAGAUAAGGUGUAGAGCAUUGGCAAGGUUAAAUGACUUUGCUAAGGUCACACAACCAGACAUUAGCGAAGCCAGACCUUGAACCCAGCAUUUUUUACUGUUUACACCAUGUUAGUUGUGAAUGUAUAACUAAGGCAAAGGGAUCACCUCAUAAAGUUCUUACUGAUGAGGGACUGAAUUGUUUAUUUGCUAUUUCACUGUAAGAAGCUUCGCUUAAUGGAUAAAAGCAUAAGAUUUAGACUCAAACCAGAAAUCCACCUCUACUUUAUAGUAGUAUGGGGACAUUGGUUAAGUGAUCUCUUUUAUUCACAAUCGUCUCAUCUGCUUAAUGGUGAUAAUAAUAAAUGUAGGUUUUUCUGGAACAAUUAAAUGGCUAAUGCAUUUGAGAAAAAGCAUGUAUUUCAUUGUUUGGCAUAAAAUAAACACUAUAUAUUUUUAGUAACUGUUACUAUGCUAUUAUUCUAAGCUAUACUAUCAGCAAGAUGUAAGUAAUGCUCCUAUUUCAUCAUAAAUAUAUAAAUACUUAUGUUUUUAUGUAUAGAUUGUUAUGCUUACAUAGGUUUCAGUGCACUUUGUUAGUAAUUAUUCUUCAUAUCUUUCAGAAUGCAAACUUCUUAAGGUCAAAGACAUGUGUUUUAUCUUUGAUAUAGAAUAUUUUCAAUGACAAGAUAUGUUCAUCUUUAUAUCCCCAAAACCUAUCAUGUUUUUGAAAGACAGUAAGUGUUAAUAAACAGUUAUUAGUGUUGAAAUAGAGUUUUGUAUUGACUUUGAAAAUAAUCCUUACUCUGGGUUGGUUGGCUGAUUGGCUUGUUUAUUUAUUUAGCUCAUGAGAUGAGAGGGGUAGACAUUUACUCUUCUAUCUAAAGGUCUUAGUUCCCUCUUGGCUGUCAUUUGGUGAGUAACUUGCUUUGCUGUUGUUUCUGUGGUGUUUAGAUAUCUAUAUGUAAAUCUUGUAACAUGGUCUUAGCUCCUUUCCUGGCAAGCUAAUUAUCUGAUGAGCAACCAAAGAAAUGAUCUAUUCUAGUGGAAGAGAAAAAAUUGACUGUGUUAAGCUUACCGAGAAAUAAUACUGUACAUACUAUUGCACUUUAUGAGACUUAAAGAAUUUGAAUACACAGUUUUUAUAUGCAUGCUAACCUUAGCUGCCUGGAAAGAUGCAGCAUAACUGCUUAAACUUAUUUUUUUUGUUGUUGUAUACUAACUUAUUUUAAAUGAGGAUGAGUAGAUAUAGACAUAUAUAUAUAUAUAUUUAUACACACACACACACACACACAAAUAUAUACACCUUCCCCCAAGUGCAUGUGCACGCGCGCACGCGCACACACACACACACACACGCAACUAGUUGACUGAGGAAGAUAAAACUUGGGCCUGAUUUACAGAUGUUUCUGCACAAUAUUCAGGCACCAUUCAAAAGUGGACAGCAACAGCAGUGCAGCCCCUUUCUGGACAUCCUUGAAAGACGGCAGUGAAGGAAAUUUCUCCCAGUGGGCAGAACUUCAAACACAGCACCUGGAGACACACUGGCAAAGGAAAUAACCAGAGCAUCCUGAAGUAGCUGCUUCAUAGAAUAUUGGAAUGGCCUUUUGGAAAUUCAGAGACAGCACCAACUACAUGGCGACACCUUCCAGGACUGAAGUACUUUCCUCCAGGAGGCUGUAUGUGCUGUAAAUCUGCAUCUAGUGUAUGGUGCUGCUUCUCCCAUAGCCAGGAUUCAUGGGUCCAGGAAUCAAGGGGUGAAAACGAGAAAAUCAAGGGAUGAAAAUGACUCCACUCACUCUUACUCCUGGGAAGCCACUAUCAGGAGUUUUGCUUGCCAUCCCCCUGAACUUUUGCAUUGUUGAUCUAGAAGUCUUAGUUCCAAAGUUAGGAGUGCUUCUACCAGAAGACAUCACAAUGAUUCCAUUGAUCUGGAAAUUGAAGCUAUUACCUGACCAUUGUAAGCUCCUCAUGUCUCUGAGUUCACAGGCAAAGAAGAGAGUUACUGUACUGGCUGGGAUUAUCAGUCCUAAUCAUCAAGGGGAAAUUAAACUGCUACUCCACAAUGGAGGUAACGGACACUAUGUUUAGAAUGCAGGAGGCCCUUAGGUUGGCAUCUCCUAGUACUCCCAUGUCCUGUGAUUAAAGCCAAUGGAAAACUAUAACAAACCUGAGAGUGGCCCAGACUCUUCAGAAAGGAAGGUUUGGAUCACUCCACCAGGCAAACAACCAUGACCAUCAGAGGUGCUGCUGAAGGAAAAGGGAAUACGGAGUGCCUAGUGGGAGAAGGCAGUUACAAAUAUCAGCUACAAGUGUGUGACCAAUUGCAGAAACAAUGACUGUAAAUGUUGUAAGUAUUUCUUCCUUAUUUUGUUAUGAAUAUGUUUGUAUGUGGGCAUAUGAGUGUGUGUAUGUAUUUGUGUGUGUGUGUGUGUAUAUAUAUAUGUAAAUGACAUUUUGAUUUCUUUUUUUCUUAUCCCCCAUCAUUUAAUAUAAGAUGUAUUAAUAAUAGUUAACUUUAUAUCACAUUAUUUAAGUUACUGGAUAUAAAAAAAGAAGGAACAACUCCCAAAAAACUUUGCAUCCUUUUCUGGUGAAAAGGUUACUGUGUUUUCAGUUAUAUGAAAGAUAAUUGUUUCAGGUUAGGUAGAAAUAUAUGACUUUUUUUUCUGCUUGGAGAUUAAAUAUGGUUUAGGAAAAUGUGUAUAACUGUCAAGUUUUCAAGGGAUAGACAGUACGAUUUUUGUUGUAUUAACUUGACACAUUAAACUGUGAUGUUGCUGUGAAGAUAUUUUGAGAAGUGAUUAAAGUCCAUAAUCAGUUGCCUUUAAGGAAGGGAGAUUAUUUGAGGUAAUCUAGGUGGGCCUGAUUCAAUCAUUAAGAGGACUUAAGAGCAUAGCUGUUUCCUGAAGAGGAAACUUCACCUAUGGACAGCUUCAGUCUACCUUUCCUGAGGACCCACGUGAUGGAUUUCAGACAUACAAUCAUGUAAGCCAAGUCCCCACAGUCAAUAUCUUAAUAUGUAUCUCAUACUGGUUAUUCUUCAGUGGUUAAACUCUGACUGACACAGAAUAUGUGUGUAUUUAUUUAUUAUUUGUAAAUUGUUUUUCUAUAUUUUCCUGUUGGGAGGAUUAUAUUGUCUUAUUGAUUUGUAAAGGCUCUUUGUAUAUUAAAGAUAUACAUCAAAUAUGUUAAAAAAAAUUUUCUCAUCCUCCUAUUGUUUUCUCUUUAUUAUGCUUUUAAAUGUGGAGAACUUUUUAAUUUUUAUAAAUUU
RNAcentral lists this long non-coding RNA (8408 nucleotides) under Homo sapiens (human). RNAcentral describes it as "HSALNT0010108". Lineage: Eukaryota; Metazoa; Chordata; Mammalia; Primates; Hominidae. The record is from RNAcentral.